This 631-nucleotide long non-coding RNA is filed under the name Nicotiana benthamiana. Its description in RNAcentral is "long non-coding RNA (NBEN_LNC038309)". The record is from RNAcentral. Lineage: Eukaryota; Viridiplantae; Streptophyta; Magnoliopsida; Solanales; Solanaceae.
CAUUGCCUAGACUGAGGAGAAUUUUUUGGAGGUUUGGGAAUCGUUCCGUCAAUGAAACUUAUUUUAUUCCUAGCGGAUAGCGAGACGACUAUAUUACGUCUCCAUCCCCCAAAACCAAUCCCUGAAAAGGGUUUGCUUACUAAAGAGAUUCCCGGAACAUCGGAAGACAAGAGAAACAAGGGUUUCGAGGGGUCAAUUACGAAAUUACCAGUCCUAGACUCAGAGGUAUCACCAACAUUAACCAUUUUUGGCUGAGAAACGUUAUCGGGCUUGAAACUUGUAAGAUAGAAACCCUAACUGCUCCUAGAUACACAAAAACUUCAGGAAUCGACUUACUCCUAUGUUUGAACUGACGAGGGGAAGCAUGAAACUCAGAAACUCAAAAAAAAUCAAGAAUUACCGAAGAAUAUCCAGAGAAAACAGAGAAAAAGAGAAAAACCUAGAUUUGCCAGAGAACACAGAAACUUUGACGAAAAACAGUGAGGGUAACAUCGCGACGAAGCCCUUGACGAGCGGAAUCAGAAUCCCUGCUCUGAUACCAUGUGAAGAUUAACGAUUUCCAUCGAUGAACAGAAUUACUUUCAGAUGAUAGAGAGAGAAGAAGAAAGAACUUUUUAUCAUUGAAUUGAAU